This 128-nucleotide small nucleolar RNA is filed under the name Tursiops truncatus (common bottlenose dolphin). RNAcentral describes it as "Small nucleolar RNA SNORA31 (ENSTTRG00000024981.1)". The record is from RNAcentral. Lineage: Eukaryota; Metazoa; Chordata; Mammalia; Artiodactyla; Delphinidae.
AUGCAUUUAUCUGACAGACCUGGAAUGAUUAUGUCUGCUGCUAAGGUUUUCACUACAGGUGCAAAAGCAAAGUGUUCUUGUACUUUCUGUCUGAUUGUGGCAGUCAAGAUGAAUGGAAGAGUACAGGA